UUCCUUGUUUGUUUAACGAAGGAAAUCCUUCCCUGUUCUGUUAAUUAAAUUUUGGGACAUUGAAAUGGGAUAGGAGAAAGGACUGGAUAGAAAGCAUUAUUCUAUUCAUUUAUCUCCUGGCCCUACAAAA
Molecule: small nucleolar RNA, 130 nt
Organism: Nycticebus coucang (slow loris)
Lineage: Eukaryota; Metazoa; Chordata; Mammalia; Primates; Lorisidae
Source: RefSeq, a predicted model, not a curated record